UACGGGGGGGGCAAGCGUUGUUCGGAAUUACUGGGCGUAAAGGGCUCGUAGGCGGCCAACUAAGUCGGACGUGAAAUCCCCAGGCUCAACCUGGGAACUGCGUCCGAUACUGGAUGGCUUGAAUUCGGGAGAGGGAUGCAGAAUUCCAGGUGUAGCGGUGAAAUGCGUAGAUAUCUGGAGGAACACCGGUGGCGAAGGCGGCUUCCUGGCCUGUUCUUGACGCUGAGGCGCGAAAGCUAGGGGAGCAAACGGG
Molecule: ribosomal RNA, 253 nt
Filed under: uncultured bacterium
Lineage: Bacteria
Description: partial 16S ribosomal RNA
Rfam family: Bacterial small subunit ribosomal RNA
Source: RNAcentral